Molecule: ribosomal RNA, 1928 nt
Filed under: human gut metagenome
Description: bacterial LSU rRNA
Rfam family: Bacterial large subunit ribosomal RNA
Source: RNAcentral
UCAAGUGACUAAGUGUAUGUGGUGGAUGCCUUGGCGAUCACAGGCGAUGAAGGACGUAGUAGCUUGCGAUAAGCUGCGGGGAGCCGGCAAACGGGCAUUGAUCCGCAGAUUUCCGAAUGGGGGAACCCACCGACGUAGGUCGGUAUCACGCACUGAAUACAUAGGUGCGUGAGGCGAACGGAGCGAACUGAAACAUCUAAGUAGCUCCAGGAAAAGAAAUCAACCGAGAUUGCGAAAGUAGCGGCGAGCGAAAUUGCAGCAGCCCAGUGUUCUGAUAGCACGAACGACAGCAGAAGGGUCUGGAAAGGCCUGCUAUAGAGGGUGAUAGCCCCGUAUGCGAAAUCGAACGUGUGGUACUAAGGAACCGAUAAGUAGGGCGGGACACGUGACAUCCUGUCUGAAGAUGGGGGGACCAUCCUCCAAGGCUAAAUACUCGUGAUCGACCGAUAGUGAACCAGUACUGUGAAGGAAAGGUGAAAAGAACCCCGGGAGGGGAGUGAAAUAGAACCUGAAACCGCAUACAUACAAACAGUAGGAGCCCCUGCAGUGGGGUGACUGCGUACCUUUUGCAUAAUGGGUCAGCGACUUACGUUUUGUGGCGAGCUUAACCGAGUAGGGGAGGCGUAGCGAAAGCGAGUUCGAAUAGAGCGAAGAGUCUCAAGGCGUAGACCCGAAACCAGAUGAGCUAUCCAUGGCCAGGUUGAAGGUGUGGUAACACACACUGGAGGACCGAACCGACUAGUGUUGCAAAAUUAGCGGAUGAGCUGUGGAUAGGGGUGAAAGGCUAAACAAAUCUGGAGAUAGCUGGUUCUCCCCGAAAACUAUUGAGGUAGUGCCUCGUGUAUGACUCCAGGGGGUAGAGCACUGUUAUGGCUAGGGGGACAUGGCGUCUUACCAAACCAUGGCAAACUCCGAAUACUUGGAAGUUUGAGCACGGGAGACAGAGCACCGGGUGCUAACGUCCGGACUCAAAAGGGAAACAACCCAGACCGCCGGCUAAGGUCCCUAAUAUUGACUAAGUGGAAAACGAAGUGGGAAGGCUAAGACAGUCAGGAAGUUGGCUUAGAAGCAGCCAUCCUUCAAAGAAAGCGUAAUAGCUCACUGAUCGAGUCCUCAUGCGCGGAAGAUGUAACGGGGCUAAGUCAAUAACCGAAAGCGCGGAUUUGCAUGAAAGUGCAAGUGGUAGGGGAGCGUUCUGUAAGCCUGCGAAGGUGGUUCGAGAGGACUGCUGGAGGUAUCAGAAGUGCGAAUGCUGACAUGAGUAACGUUAAAGCAGGUGAAAAGCCUGCUCGCCGUAAGCCCAAGGUUUCCUGCUCUACGUUCAUCGGAGCAGGGUGAGUCGGCCCCUAAGGCCAGGCUGAGAAGCGUAGUCGAUGGGAAGCAGAUUAAUAUUUCUGCACCAUGUGCAAGUGCGAUGGGGGGACGGAGUGCGAAAGAUCAUCCGGGUGUUGGAUGUCCCGGUUUGUGAGUGUAGAAGGCCGACAGGCAAAUCCGUCGGCGGAUCUUCGAGACAAAGCAUCGAGGUUCUACGGAACCGAAGUGAUCGGAAGUGCUUCCAGGAAAAGCCUCUAAGCGUCAGCUUGGCGGGACCGUACCGCAAACCGACACUGGUGGGCGAGUUGAAUAUACUCAGGCGCUUGAGAGAACUCGGGAGAAGGAACUCGGCAAAUUGACACCGUAACUUCGGGAUAAGGUGUGCCUUUGUAGCGUGAAGAGAGAAACACUCGGAGCGUGAAGAGGCCUCAGAGAAUCGGUGGCUGCAACUGUUUAUUAAAAACACAGCACUCUGCAAAGACGAAAGUCGACGUAUAGGGUGUGAUGCCUGCCCGGUGCUGGAAGAUUAAUUGAUGGGGUGCAAGCUCCUGAUCGAAGUCCCAGUAAACGGCGGCCGUAACUAUAACGGUCCUAAGGUAGCGAAAUUCCUUGUC